CCGCCUCUCCAUGCCAACUAGCGGUCCCCCUCACGGCCUCCCUUCGCGCUGUAUAGUUGGGACCCACAACUCCGCGAUGAGCGCGGCCUGCGAGCAAUGGCACGGUCAAGGACGGCGACAAAAAACAUCCUCCUUUUUCUCCGCCGUCCGUCCGUACAGUUCCUCCUAUUCCCCCUUUCCCCGAUAAUCCCAAAUUUCUCCACCCUUUUCGUCUGCUCUGAAUUCUUUCUCUUGUUAUUUUACUAAUUUUUUAUCAUUUUCUCUCCUCCAAUUCUGCUUAUUCUCCCCCCACCACGACCCCUCCUUAGAUUCCCUUGUACCUGUCUCACCUUUGAUCCCUUCCUUUCUUUCUUUGAUGUGAGAUCCCUUCCUUCUUUCCUUCGUUCUCGCUUUAUUUUAUAAGCGGUGGAAGGGAAGUUUUCCCGCGACCGUUCGCCCCUUUUCGUUGGAUUCGUUGGUGGGCGGUUUGAAAACCAUGCUUACCGACUCCGGUUCCAGUAUUGCCCACUUGCGUCUUUGAACAAGAUUCUUUCUUUCCUCCGAUUUCUCCUCCGCUGACGUGGUGUCUGAAAAAUCCGAUCUUUGGCGCCGCCUACUUAGUGCGUUUCGAGAGGGGUGUCGAAAGUUGCUCAUCCUAUCUUCUCGGCUCGCUUGUGUGCUUUGUUAAUUAAAGGGAUGUCUGCAGUUGCUUUCUUCUUGGUUGCGUUUAGUUCGCGAGCUGUUGGGUGCUAAAGGUGAGAGCUUUAUGAAUUUUUCAAGCCUUUCUAUGCCCGUUUAUUGAAUUUGUGGUGUUAGUAUGGAAUGGUUUGAGGUAGAACGGCAGCUUCUCGCAAUCUCAUUAUAAAAAGGCUGAUUAAUUUUGGGAUUGAAUUGAGGUGAGGUUUCUUAAGAUCUGAUUUUUGUGUUUGCUGUAAUUGUGGUUUUCGGGGAAUAGUUUUGGCGAUCUUCAAUUGGAAUUUAGAGUGUUGAAGUGGUGUUUGAUUUGGAUCAAAAGCUUCCAAUUAAUCAUACUCCAUCCAACAGCAAGUUUGGUGACUAGUCUUGUGAGUAUUGAAUGUUUGAGCAAGUAUCUACUAUUGCACAAUUCGAAGCGAACCUUCGAUCAAGGUGAAGUAAUGAGGCAACUUAGAUUUUCUACAUGGAUCGGGAUCGCAGCAUUUAUCAUCGGUGCACUGAUUCUGGGAGUUCUUUCUCAUUCUUUUCUCCAUGGAGGAAUUCCGGCCGCAGAUCCAGGGUUCAGAGCUGUGGCCCUGUCGAGGGGUCCUGGUGAUCCUCCAGUUUUUGCUUAUUGGAUAUCAGGAACCGGCGGUGAAGGUGAGAAGAUUUUGAGGCUCUUGAAGGCAGUUUAUCACCCGAGGAACCGCUACCUUUUGCACCUCGAUGCCGAUUCCACAGCUUCUGAGAGGAGAAGACUGGCGCUCUCCGUUCAGUCUGAUAAAAUUUUCAAAGCUUUUGCAAAUGUUUAUGUCGUGGGAAAAUCUUAUGCGGUUGAUCGGACGGGUUCAUCGGUACUUGCUGCUACACUCAAUGGAGCUGCAGUUCUGCUUAAGAUCAACUCAGACUGGGAUUGGUUCAUCAACUUGAGUUCUUCGGAUUAUCCAGUUGUAACUCAAGAUGAUCUUCUUCAUGCUUUCACUUCUUUACCAAGAGAUCUGAACUUCAUUGAUCACACAAGUGACCUUGGAUGGAAAGAGUAUGCAAGAUUUGAUAAAAUUAUUGUAGACCCAAGUCUUCAUAUGGACAAAAAUACUGAAUCCUUCUUUGCUUCAGAGACACGAACAACACCUGAUGCUUUUAAAUUAUUCACAGGUUCACCAUGGUUGAUUCUUAGCAGAUCCUUCGUGGAGCACUGUGUGCAUAGCUGGGAUAACCUCCCUAGGAAACUUCUUAUGUAUUUUGCCAAUGUGGCCUACUCAAUGGAAUCCUACUUCCAGACGGUGAUCUGCAACAGCCCUGAGUUCCAAAACACCACUGUCAACAGUGAUCUGAGGUACUUCAUUUGGGAUGAUCCACCAGGACUGGACCCUCUAUUUCUCAAUCAAUCACAUUACAAGGAGAUGAUAAAAAGUGGAGCAGCCUUUGCGAGGCGGUUCAUGGAAGAUGACAGAGUGCUCAAACAGAUAGAUAAAAAGAUACUAAGGCGUUCGUCAAAUGGAGUGGGCGUCGGAAAGUGGUGCUCAGGCCAGCUCAGCAGUCCGAAAAAGAAGGAUUUGGAGGAGGAUCCCUCCUUAACCUGGGGUGAUAUCAAUGUCGUCAUGCCUGGACCAUCAGGGAAGCGGCUCAGAAGUUUGGUGUCGGAGCUCAUUUCAGAUGAGAGGUUGCAUUCAAACCGGUGCAAGUUUACAUGAUGUAAUCUGGCCAUGGAUUGUGAUUGCCUUCAAAAUUAAGCCAUUUGGCAAAUGACUCUGCCAGCAUUCAUUUAAUCAGUUGGUCAGAAGGUGCUGUUGAACCAAAGGCCAUCGACUCAUCAGCACUUAUGAUGCAGUUGCCAGACAAUCAGCCAGAGGGGUGAUCCACCCUUCUCUGAGUCAGUCAGAUUACGAAUUCUCCAUUCUUAAAUGAAGGCAGUUGGACCGCCGAGCUAACGGCUACAAAUACAAUUGCGGCUCCCGUAUUUCUUAGAGAACGGCUGCAUUCUUUUUCUCGAAUUAGUAACUCGGAAAGCAUGGGUGGCAGACAAAAACGUUUUGAAGAGGUAGAAGAAGAAGAAGAGGGAAGCUUUGCCUGCGCAUGUCUGUGGGUGGGAUUCGGGUCGUACAAACAAAUGAGUUGGACUGGGUUGGGCUUUUCAAUCUAGCAUCUCAGUAGGGGCUCGCUCUACUUGAACGGCUGGGCCUGGGAAGUACAAGCACCAAGAAUCCCUCCACCGCCUGAAGCAAAUGCGGAAGUGUGACGAAGGCCCGCUACGGGUUGCUCUCUGUGUGUCCCCCCCUCGUCAUCUAAUGCAUCCAAGCUGGAAAUGCAUGAUAUCACCUAUUUCUCCUUGUCUAAUUUUCAACUGCACAGAUGCAAUCUGGCAAAUGGGAUUGUAGCCUAGAUUGUCAGGAAGCAAACGACAUUUCCCAGAGUUCGACAUGGAUAAUUCUUCUCUUGUUUCUAUAUAUCAAAAUUAUUGUUAUGUUCUUUUUUAAA
RNA transcript from Elaeis guineensis (African oil palm), 3132 nucleotides. It is a transcript of the gene named beta-glucuronosyltransferase GlcAT14A, with no coding region annotated. The record is from RefSeq and is a predicted model, not a curated record. NCBI's taxonomy places the organism in Eukaryota, Viridiplantae, Streptophyta, Magnoliopsida, Arecales, Arecaceae.